GACGAACGCUGGCGGCGUGCCUAAUACAUGCAAGUCGAACGAGAGCGACCGGUGCUUGCACUGGUCAAUCUAGUGGCGAACGGGUGAGUAACACGUGGGUAACCUGCCCAUCAGAGGGGGAUAACAUCCGGAAACGGAUGCUAAAACCGCAUAGGUCUUCGAGCCGCAUGGCUUGAAGAGGAAAAGAGGCGCAAGCUUCUGCUGAUGGAUGGACCCGCGGUGCAUUAGCUAGUUGGUGAGGUAACGGCUCACCAAGGCCGUGAUGCAUAGCCGACCUGAGAGGGUGAUCGGCCACAUUGGGACUGAGACACGGCCCAAACUCCUACGGGAGGCAGCAGUAGGGAAUCUUCCGCAAUGGACGCAAGUCUGACGGAGCAACGCCGCGUGAGUGAAGAAGGUUUUCGGAUCGUAAAAACUCUGUUGUUAGAGAAAGAAACAAAGUGCUAG
This 447-nucleotide ribosomal RNA is filed under the name Granulicatella adiacens. Its description in RNAcentral is "bacterial SSU rRNA". It matches the Rfam family "Bacterial small subunit ribosomal RNA", at positions 28 to 462 of the family's 1533-position model. The record is from RNAcentral. Lineage: Bacteria; Bacillati; Bacillota; Bacilli; Lactobacillales; Carnobacteriaceae.